RNAcentral lists this unclassified non-coding RNA (208 nucleotides) under Hevea brasiliensis (rubber tree). The record is from RNAcentral. Lineage: Eukaryota; Viridiplantae; Streptophyta; Magnoliopsida; Malpighiales; Euphorbiaceae.
UGGGAAAUGCCAUUGUUAUAUCCCUACAAGUAACAUAAAGGGGACGUUGAAGUUUAUUCAGGGGUUAUUUCAAUGUACCUCAAUUUUCAUCAAACAGGAAGGUGAAGAGAUAAGGUUUUAAAGUUUCAAAGGACCCUUCUAAAGUGAAAACAACUGCCAACAAAAUUGCACUUCAUCACCAAAAACAGAUUCAAUUUCUAGUGCUUUG